RNAcentral lists this unclassified non-coding RNA (334 nucleotides) under soil metagenome. RNAcentral's name for it is "partial contains 5.8S ribosomal RNA, internal transcribed spacer 2, and large subunit ribosomal RNA". The stretch from base 1 to 120 matches the Rfam family "5.8S ribosomal RNA", at positions 35 to 154 of the family's 154-position model. The record is from RNAcentral.
GAUGAAGAACGUAGUGAAAUGCGAUAAGUAGUGUGAAUUGCAGAAUUCAGUGAAUCAUCGAAUCUUUGAACGCACAUUGCGCCCCUUGGUAUUCCAUGGGGCAUGCCUGUUCGAGCGUCAUUUGUACCUUCAAGCUUUGCUUGGUGUUGGGUGUUUGUCCAUUCUCUUGCAGAGGGACUCGCCUUAAAGUAAUUGGCAGCCAGUGUUUUGGUUUUGAAGCGCAGCACAAGUCGCGAUUCAAAGCUAUACGCCCGCUUCCACAAGCCUUUUUCACUUUUGACCUCGGAUCAGGUAGGGAUACCCGCUGAACUUAAGCAUAUCAAUAAGCGGAGGA